Long non-coding RNA from Mytilus californianus (California mussel), 632 nucleotides. RefSeq lists it as uncharacterized. NCBI's taxonomy places the organism in Eukaryota, Metazoa, Mollusca, Bivalvia, Mytilida, Mytilidae. The transcript has 2 exons. The record is from RefSeq and is a predicted model, not a curated record.
UAUUAGGCAAACCAAAAGUAUUUAUAGUUCAAUCAUGUCGAGGUGAGGCGAUUCAACAAAAACAGAAAAAUGAAAGAAUUCAAAGAAUAGACCAGUUUGAUUCCUCAAGCCAACUAAAUAGAUUACCAACAGAGGCUGAUAUACUAAAGAUUUAUGCAACAACUCCUGGACACUUAGCUCACCGAAGAUCUGGAUCAAAUACCUGGAAUGGAUCCUGGUUGAUAAAUGCAUUCUUAGACACAGCAGAGCAGAACCCUGAACUUCAUGUUGAUGAAAUGAUGACAGUAGUUAGACGUCAAUUAUCGACAAAUCCGGAAUACGAAUAUGAUGGUGAAAAGUGCCAAAUAGCAGUUUCUGAAACGACCCUUACAAAACUGUUUUAUUUGUGAGGAAAUAUUUUUUCAAAGAUAAUUCAACUGUCUUCCCUCAUCCUGUAUUAUAAUUUCUUAAGGACCCAAUAAUCCGAGAAUGUAUGCAUUCUGGGGAAAAUCAGUGCUUCUACUUGUCAAAAUAUGAGUCCAAUCUUUUAUCUUUUCUUUAUCCGGAAAUCUUCUCGGAAUCCACAAGGAAUAUUACGUCAAAUAGGUCAUAAUCUAGUAUGAUGUAGUUUAUAAAUAAAAAGUGUCAAUCCA